Molecule: RNase P RNA, 352 nt
Filed under: Kofleriaceae bacterium
Lineage: Bacteria; Pseudomonadati; Myxococcota; Haliangiales; Kofleriaceae
Description: RNase P RNA component class A
Rfam family: Bacterial RNase P class A
About the family: Ribonuclease P (RNase P) is a ubiquitous endoribonuclease, found in archaea, bacteria and eukarya as well as chloroplasts and mitochondria. Its best characterised activity is the generation of mature 5'-ends of tRNAs by cleaving the 5'-leader elements of precursor-tRNAs. Cellular RNase Ps are ribonucleoproteins.
Source: RNAcentral
GGAGCAGCCUGGGUGAUCGCUGGCACCGUGAGGUGCGAGAGGAAAGUCCGAGCUUCACAGGGCAAGGUGCUGGCUAACGGCCAGUCGAGGUGACUCGCAGGAAAGUGCAACAGAAAGCAAACCGCCUGCCUCGUGCAGGUAAGGGUGAAAGGGUGCGGUAAGAGCGCACCGCCUGGCCGGCGACGGUCAGGGCACGGCAAACCCCACCUGAAGCAAGACCAGACAGGGGUCGCGUGGCCCGCGCGAUGACCCCGGGUUGGUUGCUCGAGCCCGCCGGCAACGACGGGCCUAGAUGAAUGAUCGCCACCGGCGCAAGCCGGGACAAAACUCGGCUUACAGGGCCGCUCCGACG